Molecule: ribosomal RNA, 253 nt
Filed under: uncultured bacterium
Lineage: Bacteria
Description: partial 16S ribosomal RNA
Rfam family: Bacterial small subunit ribosomal RNA
Source: RNAcentral
UACAGAGGUCCCAAGCGUUGUUCGGAUUCAUUGGGCGUAAAGGGUGCGUAGGCGGCGCGGUAAGUCGGGUGUGAAAUCUCGGGGCUUAACUCCGAAACUGCAUUCGAUACUGCCGUGCUUGAGGACUGGAGAGGAGACUGGAAUUUACGGUGUAGCGGUGAAAUGCGUAGAUAUCGGGAGGAACACCAGUGGCGAAGGCGGCUUCCUGGCCUGUUCUUGACGCUGAGGCGCGAAAGCUAGGGGAGCAAACGGG